GAGGGUAUAGCUCAGUGGUAGAGCACGUGCUUAACAUGCAUGAGGUCCUGGUUUCAAUCCAGUACCUCUG
RNAcentral lists this transfer RNA (70 nucleotides) under Camelus bactrianus (Bactrian camel). It matches the Rfam family "tRNA". From Rfam's summary of the family: Transfer RNA (tRNA) molecules are approximately 80 nucleotides in length. Lineage: Eukaryota; Metazoa; Chordata; Mammalia; Artiodactyla; Camelidae. The record is from Rfam by way of RNAcentral. RNAcentral also lists the same sequence under 1 other name.